GAUGAACGCUAGCGGCAGGCCUAAUACAUGCAAGCCGAACGGCAAGUUUGAUAGCAAUAUUGGACCUAGAGUGGCGCAAGGGUGCGUAACACGUAUGCAACCUGCCCGCGACAGGAGGAUAGCUCCCCGAAAGGGGAAUUAACCCUCCAUAACACCAUGAGAAGGCAUCUGAUUAUGGUUAAACCGCAAGGGGUCGCGGAUGGGCAUGCGGUUGAUUAGCUAGUUGGCGGGGUAAAGGCCCACCAAGGCGGUGAUCAAUAGGGGUUCUGAGAGGAAGGUCCCCCACACUGGCACUGGGAUACGGGCCAGACUCCUACGGGAGGCAGCAGUAGGGGAUAUUGGACAAUGGUUGCAAGACUGAUCCAGCCAUGCCGCGUGCAGGAAGAAGGCCUUCUGGGUCGUAAACUGCUUUUUCCUGUGGAUAAAAUACCCGUGCGCGGGGAAUUGAAGGUAACAGGGGAAUAAGCCACGGCUAACUACGU
Molecule: ribosomal RNA, 482 nt
Filed under: uncultured bacterium
Lineage: Bacteria
Description: partial 16S ribosomal RNA
Rfam family: Bacterial small subunit ribosomal RNA
Source: RNAcentral